GACUGGUAAUUGGUCAUCUGUGCGUAAUCACUGGAACAACCCUGGACAAAAGUUCUCUUGACCGAGACCAUCUCCGAGUAACACUGUCCGAAGUCGCUCGGUCAACGGAAGAUCGAUUGAUCGACCUAUUCCUAUGUUGCAGUGAUUGUGAAAUCCAUAAUCGGAUGUUCAUGUAAUCCCUGCAUGUUGUGGCGUUUGCUCCAUAGGCCUGGACAGCAGAAGUGCGUUUAGCCAGCGCGAACUAACUUUGUUUUGUUUUCUGUGGGUUCUUCGAAGGAUAUGUUUACAAAGAGGAUUUGGACCACGGGUGUUUGUUGGUUUAUUUCAAGCCCUACAUAGUGCGAAAGGAAUUUGGCUAUGGAGAUGACGAAUUAUAUAUCUCUUACCUGUAUAUGCUUGGUUAUGUAUAUGGAUGGAUAUAUAGCUUCUGAUUAACUGAGGGCCUAUACGGUAUUAUACAUACUGCAAAUUUCCAAUCCGGUCAAAAUCCAUAGUCGACUGCUAGGAGCACACAACAGAAACCGAACACAGGAAGUUAGCCUUCUGCGCUGGUCUUGGAUCCAGAUUGGAGGCUUGGAACUAGAAGGACAAAGGAGGACCUGGACUAGACCUAGUCUAGCUUUUCGCUGUGAUCUUGCACAUAUUGGCCUAGUAGUAGAAGACUCCAAAUGCAGCCGCUACACAAAACAGAGAGUCCUGUAGAGAUGGGAGGAGAAAAGAUGAAAA
Molecule: long non-coding RNA, 726 nt
Organism: Strongylocentrotus purpuratus (purple sea urchin)
Lineage: Eukaryota; Metazoa; Echinodermata; Echinoidea; Camarodonta; Strongylocentrotidae
Exons: 2
Source: RefSeq, a predicted model, not a curated record